Molecule: ribosomal RNA, 253 nt
Filed under: uncultured bacterium
Lineage: Bacteria
Description: partial 16S ribosomal RNA
Rfam family: Bacterial small subunit ribosomal RNA
Source: RNAcentral
UACAUGUGGGGCAAGCGUUGUUCGGAAUUACUGGGCGUAAAGGGCGCGUAGGCGGAUUAGUAAGUUGGGAGUGAAAUCCCGGGGCUCAACCUCGGAAUUGCUUUCAAAACUACUAGUCUAGAGUGAGGUAGGGGGUGAUGGAAUUCCUAGUGUAGAGGUGAAAUUCUUAGAUAUUAGGAGGAACACCGGUGGCGAAGGCGGUCACCUGGGCUUCAACUGACGCUGAGGCGCGAAAGCGUGGGGAGCAAACAGG